RNAcentral lists this unclassified non-coding RNA (335 nucleotides) under soil metagenome. Its description in RNAcentral is "partial contains 5.8S ribosomal RNA, internal transcribed spacer 2, and large subunit ribosomal RNA". The stretch from base 1 to 120 matches the Rfam family "5.8S ribosomal RNA", at positions 35 to 154 of the family's 154-position model. The record is from RNAcentral.
GAUGAAGAACGCAGCGAAAUGCGAUAAGUAAUGUGAAUUGCAGAAUUCAGUGAAUCAUCGAAUCUUUGAACGCACAUUGCGCCCGCCAGUAUUCUGGCGGGCAUGCCUGUUCGAGCGUCAUUUCAACCAUCAAGCCCCCGGCUUGUGUUGGGGACCUGCGGCUGCCGCAGGCCCUGAAAACCAGUGGCGGGCUCGCUAGUCACUCCGAGCGUAGUAAUACAUCUCGCUCAGGGCGUGCUGCGGGUUCCGGCCGUUAAAAAGCCUUAUUUACCCAAGGUUGACCUCGGAUCAGGUAGGAAGACCCGCUGAUCUUAAGCAUAUCAAUAAGCGGAGGA